Molecule: ribosomal RNA, 118 nt
Filed under: Pteropus alecto (black flying fox)
Lineage: Eukaryota; Metazoa; Chordata; Mammalia; Chiroptera; Pteropodidae
Source: RNAcentral
GGCUAUAGCCAAGUAACCUGAACAAGCCCGAUCCUGUCUGAUCUUGGAAGCUAAGCAGGGUUGGGCCUGGUUAGUACUUGGAUGGGAGAUCACCUAGGAAGACCAGGUACUGUAGGCA